RNAcentral lists this ribosomal RNA (706 nucleotides) under uncultured prokaryote. Its description in RNAcentral is "bacterial SSU rRNA". It matches the Rfam family "Bacterial small subunit ribosomal RNA", at positions 28 to 752 of the family's 1533-position model. The record is from RNAcentral.
GAUGAACGCUGACAGAAUGCUUAACACAUGCAAGUCGAUUCGAUUUACCUUCGGGUAUUGAGGAUGGCGGACGGGUGAGUAACGCGUAAGGAACUUGCCUCUUGGUCUGGGACAACUGUUGGAAACGACAGCUAAUACCGGAUAUUAUGAGAUUCUCGCAUGGGAAACUUAUGAAAGCUAUAUGCGCCAAGAGAGAGCCUUGCGUUCCAUUAGCUAGUUGGUGGGGUAACGGCCCACCAAGGCGACGAUGGAUAGCCGGCCUGAGAGGGUGAACGGCCACAAGGGGACUGAGACACGGCCCUUACUCCUACGGGAGGCAGCAGUGGGGAAUAUUGGACAAUGGGCCACAAGCCUGAUCCAGCAAUUCUGUGUGCACGAUGAAGGUCUUCGGAUUGUAAAGUGCUUUCAGUUGGGAAGAAGAAAGUGACGGUACCAACAGAAGAAGCGACGGCUAAAUACGUGCCAGCAGCCGCGGUAAUACGUAUGUCGCAAGCGUUAUCCGGAUUUAUUGGGCGUAAAGCGCGUCUAGGCGGAAAAAUAAGUCUGAUGUUAAAAUGCGGGGCUCAACUCCGUAUUGCGUUGGAAACUGUUUUUCUAGAGUACUGGAGAGGUGGGCGGAACUACAAGUGUAGAGGUGAAAUUCGUAGAUAUUUGUAGGAAUGCCGAUGGAGAAGUCAGCUCACUGGACAGAUACUGACGCUNAAGC